RNAcentral lists this ribosomal RNA (492 nucleotides) under uncultured bacterium. Its description in RNAcentral is "partial 16S ribosomal RNA". It matches the Rfam family "Bacterial small subunit ribosomal RNA", at positions 29 to 507 of the family's 1533-position model. The record is from RNAcentral.
AGUGAACGCUGGCGGUAGGCCUAACACAUGCAAGUCGAACGGCAGCACAGUAAGAGCUUGCUCUUACGGGUGGCGAGUGGCGGACGGGUGAGGAAUACAUCGGAAUCUACUUUUUCGUGGGGGAUAACGUAGGGAAACUUACGCUAAUACCGCAUACGACCUACGGGUGAAAGCAGGGGAUCUUCGGACCUUGCGCGAUUGAAUGAGCCGAUGUCGGAUUAGCUAGUUGGCGGGGUAAAGGCCCACCAAGGCGACGAUCCGUAGCUGGUCUGAGAGGAUGAUCAGCGACACUGGAACUGAGACACGGUCCAGACUCCUACGGGAGGCAGCAGUGGAGAAUAUUGGACAAUGGGCGCAAGCCUGAUCCAGCCAUACCGCGUGGGUGAAGAAGGCCUUCGGGUUGUAAAGCCCUUUUGUUGGGAAAGAAAAGCAGCAGGUUAAUACCCCGCUGUUCUGACGGUACCCAAAGAAUAAGCACCGGCUAACUUCGUG